GGUUAGGGCAGGGCAGCUGGGCAAAGUGUUACGUGGGAUUGCAUAAAGAGCUUGAUUAAUAAGAAACAGAAGGGAAUGGGAUAGAAAUAAUUGCCGAUCAGCAGAUGGGUGGAUGCAGGCAUUAGGAAGAAUGAAAAACAACUGUCUCAAUGCAUUUGGAGGAGUGAGCUUCAGGAAAUGCCAUACACAUGUUGCAAAUGGGAAGAGGAAGAUGAACACGCCUGCCCAAAUCCCUAUGUAAGAUCCAUUGAAAAGAUCAAAUAAAACUCUUUCAGCUAUUUCAAGUUCCAAGAUGGUAAUUGUAUGCAAGAAGGUUAUAGCCAUGUGAGUGGGGAAACACUGGCAGUCACACGAUGCAUUCUCUCGUGCUUAAGUAAAUUUCCAGUAACCCUGGAAAUCCUCCCCAGUUUCCAACUCAGCGUUAUGCCAUCUCAUAUCACUGCUAUUUUCUGAGAAUCUUCUCCUCUGCUCUUGAGAUUCUCUAUCUCAAAGAAAUCCAUAAUCUACCAUGACCUAAAAAAGAUUUUCAUUAAUUUUAUGGGCCAAGCUGCUGCAGGGACGAACGCGCGACGCAUUUCCUUUCCCCAGCUUCUGGACCCUCUGCAAGAUGGAGCAAAACACAUUGCUGUUACCGGAGCGAUGCACACGGGGGCAGGACUGGAUCUCCUAUGAGGAUGGGAAUUCAAUUUAGAGCGAGCAAAGCCCCUGCUCUAAGCCGCGCUCUUGUGAUAUUUCUCCUUGCAGCUCAGCUAUCUGAUCGCUGCCUGCAUAUCUCCUGCUGCUUAAGCACAGAUGAUAUCUGAGGGAAGAAGGGUGUCUGGAAUUAUUUGGCUUAUAGCAAAGCGCUGAGGAUCCGGCCCAGCACAUCCCAAUCCCUCAGCACCAUCGCUGCAAUAGCUGUGACACAGCCAGACCCCAGAACAGCAUCCCCAGGUGGUUUUAUUUUAAAGCAUAAUUUUAUUUUUCCCCACGUUGACAAACCAUUUGUGCUGAUGAAGCCCUGGGGAAAAGCUGCAUCAACAGCAAGGUCUAGACUGGCCCGAGGUGUGUUCUGGCCAGCAACAAGUAGAGAAAUACAUAAAACAGAGGAACUGAUAUAAAAUAGAGCAGAACAAAAUAACUGCACGCAAUGCGUUAAUCAGUUUGCGGGGUAAUUGAAUG
Molecule: long non-coding RNA, 1161 nt
Organism: Gallus gallus (chicken)
Lineage: Eukaryota; Metazoa; Chordata; Aves; Galliformes; Phasianidae
Source: Ensembl